GGGCCAGUAGCUCAGGUGGCAGAGCAUCUGCCUUUUAAGCAGAGGGUCGAUGGUUCGAGUCCAUCCUGGCUCA
This 73-nucleotide transfer RNA is filed under the name Candidatus Coatesiibacteriota bacterium. Its description in RNAcentral is "Candidatus Coatesbacteria bacterium tRNA-Lys". It matches the Rfam family "tRNA". From Rfam's summary of the family: Transfer RNA (tRNA) molecules are approximately 80 nucleotides in length. Their secondary structure includes four short double-helical elements and three loops (D, anti-codon, and T loops). The record is from RNAcentral. Lineage: Bacteria; Candidatus Coatesiibacteriota.